RNAcentral lists this ribosomal RNA (501 nucleotides) under uncultured bacterium. RNAcentral's name for it is "partial 16S ribosomal RNA". It matches the Rfam family "Bacterial small subunit ribosomal RNA", at positions 30 to 523 of the family's 1533-position model. The record is from RNAcentral.
AUUGAACGCUGGCGGCAGGCUUAACACAUGCAAGUCGAGCGGGGGAAGGUAGCUUGCUACCGGACCUAGCGGCGGACGGGUGAGUAAUGCUUAGGAAUCUGCCUAUUAGUGGGGGACAACAUCUCGAAAGGGAUGCUAAUACCGCAUACGUCCUACGGGAGAAAGCAGGGGAUCUUCGGACCUUGCGCUAAUAGAUGAGCCUAAGUCGGAUUAGCUAGUUGGUGGGGUAAAGGCCUACCAAGGCGACGAUCUGUAGCGGGUCUGAGAGGAUGAUCCGCCACACUGGGACUGAGACACGGCCCAGACUCCUACGGGAGGCAGCAGUGGGGAAUAUUGGACAAUGGGGGGAACCCUGAUCCAGCCAUGCCGCGUGUGUGAAGAAGGCCUUAUGGUUGUAAAGCACUUUAAGCGAGGAGGAGGCUACUCUAGUUAAUACCUAGGGAUAGUGGACGUUACUCGCAGAGUAAGCACCGGCUAACUCUGUGCCAGCCGCCGCAGUAA